GGCCUCCUGCUCAGUGGUUUGAGCAUUGGCCUGCUAAACCCAGGGUUGUGAGUUCAAUCCUUGAGGGGGCCA
This 72-nucleotide transfer RNA is filed under the name Chelonia mydas (Green sea turtle). It matches the Rfam family "tRNA". From Rfam's summary of the family: Transfer RNA (tRNA) molecules are approximately 80 nucleotides in length. Their secondary structure includes four short double-helical elements and three loops (D, anti-codon, and T loops). The record is from Rfam by way of RNAcentral. Lineage: Eukaryota; Metazoa; Chordata; Testudines; Cheloniidae.